GCAGGUACGUGCACAUGUGCUUAUGUGCUCUGUCUGGUGUGUUGUGUAACAUUUCCUUCAAGAUUGAAACAUUCUACCCUGCAAGGCUGCUCCUCAAGUAGGAAGGUCAAGAUGUAGGACUCUCAACUCCUUCUCCAGCACCAUGUCUGCCUGCAGGCCACCAUGUCCCACCAUGAUGACAAUGGACUAAACCUCUGAAAAGCUACAGAAACCCUAAGGCCUCUCUGCCAUAAUAUGCGAUUAAAGCUGAGAAUCUGUCUCAGAGGAAUAGGGCCAAGCUGCAAAGAAGACCCUGAGACCAGACCAGCUGCCUGGAAGCAGAGGCCAGCCGAACUGCCCGGAAGAAGUUUAGGACAACUGAGGCACCUGGAAAAGGACUCUCCAACCUGGUGAGCCGCCUGCAGGCUGCGCAGUGAGCUCCAGGUUCCCAGCUUUGUGAGCUGCCACCGUGCUGGGGUGGGCCUUGGUGAUGCAGCUGCCACUGAGUCAUUUCUGCUCCUAUAGAUAACCCCUCACCCCUAUCCCUGUAAGUGACCCCAAUAAAACUCAGGGUUUGCCAGGUUGGACUCUG
Long non-coding RNA from Peromyscus maniculatus bairdii (prairie deer mouse), 571 nucleotides. RefSeq lists it as uncharacterized. NCBI's taxonomy places the organism in Eukaryota, Metazoa, Chordata, Mammalia, Rodentia, Cricetidae. The record is from RefSeq and is a predicted model, not a curated record.